Chlorocebus sabaeus (green monkey) is the source of this 4177-nucleotide non-coding RNA. The record is from RefSeq and is a predicted model, not a curated record. Lineage: Eukaryota; Metazoa; Chordata; Mammalia; Primates; Cercopithecidae.
UUGUUGGGGGUCUGAAGGAACUCCUCAAACCUCCAUGAUUUAGCAGGAGACAAGAUAAGGUCAAUCACCCCAGCACGUGGACCCAUUUAGAUGAAGUAAAUGUACUGAGACUCCAGAGGAAGGUCUUCAGGACUCAGACCUUAGUUAUAGAUUAAAAGAAGUUAAUCACUUAUGUCUUUAGAUGAAUGCACACUUAUAUGUAGACAAAUAGCUUAGGAAAACUGUACAAGCUUUGGAAAACUGUAAUUUUGAGUUGGUCUGGUGAUAAUUUCCAGGUCUUCUCCAUGUAACUGGUUACAGAAAUAAAAACUCUCCUCCUCCCCAGUUCAUCUGCAUCUUGUUAUUGUGCUGCGAGAAAUAGCAGCCUGACCCUCAGUUUGGCCUGGGAUCAAAAUGUGGCACACAAGCCAGGAAUUAAGGAGAGUGCUGCAUUCAGCAGCUGGCAACUUGCUACGAGACAGUCUUCAGGAGGAUCCUGGCAGCUGCUGGGUGAGGUGUCCCCAAGGACCCUCCAGAGGGCUGUUGUGCGCAAAUCUGCACGUCCUUUUCACUACUGGGGAAAAACAGAGAUCAGGAGCAGAUGCGCUCAAAGGGACCUUGUGUUUUUGAGAAAAGGUGGGUUUUUUUUUCUUCUCAGUUAACUGAAUUCUGUUUUCUUCAUUAAUAGCUAUUACAACAAAAGCUACUGUGAGGUUUUUAAGAAAAUUAAGUGUAAUUUAGACACUUAGAAAUGUCUUUGUUUACGGAAAAAAAAAAAAAAAUGUAAGCGCAUUGUAAAAGCCUCACAUGGUCUAGCCUCAGAAUAAUUCUCCCUCUUUGAAAACCCAGGAUUCAGUGUAGGACCUGCCCAGAACUCAAAGAUCCAGUUAAAAGACAGGAAAAAGGAGGUCUUCUGAAUCUAUAAAAUGUACUUCUAUUGGCAUGCCUAAUACGUCUGUGUAUUUAUGUCUUGUGUACACCAUGUUUCAUGACUGAAAAUAUAUAAAAGUUCUGAUUAAUUGGCUCAAAGAAAAAUAAAAGCACUUAAAUACUUUAACAACAAAAAGGAAAGACUAGUCAAAUGCUUUUUCAAGUUUCUGUGACUUAAGUAAAACCUUUAAUAAAUAAGCUAGCUUUAAAAAUUAUUGGUAAAGUAAUAUUAAAAAUAUCUUAAGAGUUGCUAGCAUACAUUUUUGUUUGCAGUUAUUAAUCAAGGAAUUUCAUACUUAUCUCUUCCAAAUACUAUAAGGUAUUUGGCAGAGAGGCUACAAAACUAUAACUCAGCCCAGAACAGAAUGAUCUUUACUUGCAUAAUUUUUAAUAAACAAAACAUUAAUAUUGGUUUAAUGAACAUAGCUACAUUUUAAACUAUUUAGUAAAAUACCCUAACUUCUAAUCCUGUGGUCUUAGGCAGGCUAGACUACAAACAUGAAGGAAGUUUGUUCUGAGGAAGGACUGUUAUCAUCUUUGUUUCAGUGCUAAACUAUAAACUAAGUUAAUGAAUAAGAAUAGCUUGGAGGUUAGAAGCAAGAUGGAGUCAGUUAGGUCAGAUCAUUUUUGCUGUCUGAGUUAUAAUUUUGCAAUGGUGGUUUUAUAAUUUUAAAUGAUGACUUUUGCAAUUUUCAUAAAUAAUCUAGGUAAAUUAUUAAAACAAAUAAUUAGAUAAAUGUAAUGGGAUAAAUGCUCAUAAACAAACUUGUCAUUAUUUGGUGUUUCCCAAUAAAAAUAUAUUGUAGGAAAAUGUUCUUUCUAAAGAUUGUAUCCUUUUUAAAGGGUAAGUAAUUUUUGUCUAAUUCAAAGCUUAUUUAAAGGUUAUAUAUAAAACAAGGUAAAAGAAAUCAGGAAAUAAGAGAGAUAUAAAGAAAGUGAUAAAACUAAAGAGUUUGAAAAAGUAUUGGUAAAAUUAAAAUAUCUUCAAAAGUGUCAACAUUUGGCCUAAAUUAUGCAGGUAAAAUAUUACACUUGCUAAAUGUUUUGGAUCAUAAACUGCUUCUUUGACUUAAAAAUUGUUAAUUUAUUUUAGAGAAUUAAAUUCCAGAUAAGGCCUGGGACACAUGGAGUUAGACACUGGAAUAAGUAAGACCUUAUCUACACUUCUGUGUGGGUCCUAGGCUGCACACCUAGUACAUAAUUAAAUCACAGAAUUACCAAGGUUUUCACCAUAAGUAAAGGUUGCUAAGAGUUAACAGUGUAACAUGUAUUUAAGACUAUUGAAGAAACAGUUUACAUGCAAGGUGUGUAAGGAUAGUAAAAUAUACUUUUGGUUAAAAGAUUGUAAGGCGGCACGAGAAAGUGGAUUUUUGCCUUUUAAAGGUUAAAGGAUUGUUUUAAGUGAAUAAAAUACAGAUGAAGGUUUAAGCAAGCUGUGGAAGGUUAAUUGUAAAGGAAAUUCUUUGUGUAAACAUAUUGGUUAGAGUUAAAGUAGUAUCAUUCAGUUUUUCUGUAAAUUGAGCAUUAAAAUGAAAGCACAAUGGAUUUCUCUUAGCGCUCUAAACUGCUCUUUAACAAAAAUUGUAAAGGGUUAUAAAAGAUCUAUAAAAAUCUUACUUUAUGAUCAAACAUUAAAAUUGAGUAAAUAUAUCUGUAAGGAUUUAUUAAGAAUUGGGUUUAACAUUAAUAGUACACUAAUGUAAAAGUAAAAUUUGGCUUAUUUGGUGUAAAAAUCAUACAGAAAACAUUGUCAAAAAUGAGAUGGUGUUUGGUUUUCUUUAGGCUAUAUUUGUAUAAAUAUGUUAUUGGGAUAUGUUCCAAAAUCAUGUGAAACUCCUAUCAUUCUGAUAUGUCUUAGUGUACAUUUUCAGUAAUAAUUAUAACUGUUAUGUUAAAUUAUUGUGUGCCACAGAGGUAACAGAUCUCCUUGUCAAUUAUUGUCUUGUUUUGGUCCUCUUUAGAAGGUGCUCUUGAAUGCAGGUUUCUAAUAACUUUGGAGAUUAUGACAUCGGAAUAGAGGAAAAACAUUCAGGACUCUUGAAGAACUAAAAUAUUCAUUAAUAUCAAGCAGGAUGGGAAUUAACUGCAUGAACUGAACUGAUAGGAGACUGAAGUGAUCUUUUUGACUUUUUGCUUAAAAUGCUGCUGAUCCUUUGUUUUGCUUUUCAGAGUCAAGGAAGCUUUUCUUUCGUGCUACUAACAGCUUUUAACAAUUAAAUAAAGUAUACUCCUAUGAACAAAAUUUGGAGUACGUUUGUUUCUCUCUGACUGGUCCCUCUAGAAUUUGGAAACUAUCUGUGAGUAUUCUUAAUUCAGGGCAAUAUAAUUAUUUGCGUAAGUGCAAUAAAAAUCUGUUUUCUUUUGUAACAUGUCACAGUUGGAACACCUGGUUAUUUUAACAAGGCUUUGACUGGAAUGGUACGCUCUUGUUUAAGGAAUCAAACAACUUAUGGAGCCAAUAAAGCCCUUGGAAACCUGGCCUCAUAUUUUGUGUACACAGUCCCUGUACAGGGUUUCUGAUGUGUGGUAAGUAUAGAAUGUCACUUUCUGAUGGGUCAGGAGCCUCAAGUUAUCUUGGAACCUCAAGAGGAGAGGAAGUCACCCAACUCAUAAGUAUUUGAUGGAACAAAUCCAUGACUGGGUUCAUCUUUAAAAAAGUCUUAUCCCGGAUUCCUUCUAUGGAACAAAGUUCCAUCAAAGACAAUAUAAAAGGCCUAUGUGAAAAAUAAUUAUUCUUGCAGCACUGUAUAUAAAUAAUCAGACCAAAUAUAAUAACGCAAACCAGGCCUACUAUGAUUUGUCUUUUAAUAAAAAUGGGAAACUGAAGAAAGAAAAAAUAUUUUUCAAAAAAUAUAGUACACCUGUUGUUAAAUUCUACUCUUGCGUGAUGUUUUUCCUAUGAUUUCAGCAUCUGCAUCACCUGGGAACUCAGAGAUGCAGAUUCUCAGGCUCUACUGAGACAGAGUCUGUGGGUGGGAAUCGGAAAUCUGUGCUUUAACAAGCCCUGGGGGAUACCGAUGAUGCUAAUGUUUAAGAUGUCUGGUUUACAUGAUCUUCACUAUUGCAUUUUCACUUAAUCAAGUAUUGCUAGAAUACAGACUCUAGAGUCAGAUGACAUAGAUCUGAAUCUCAGCUCUACCCCUUAAAGAUGCUUUAUGACCUUGUACAUGUUAUCGGCCUCUUUACACCACAGUUUCCUCAUUUGUUAAAGGGAGAUGGCAUCCUCGUUGAUAAGCCCCCUGCCCACUGUGUCUUCCCUCUCCUCCCC